CAAAGGCAUUAGGGAGUGGCUGUGACCCCAGAGAACCCCUGGCCCACCUUCUGCACUUUCCAAUGAAGCUUCGGCAGGUUACCUGAUUUCAGUAUGCGGUCAGUGACUGAGCUGGGAGUGGAGUCCAGAGUUUUGGGCCAAGGGGUCUUAGGAUAAUGUCUGUGGGCAGCCCCAGGACAUCCUUCCUGAGUUGCAGUUCAGCUGCCAUCAUGGUGCUUCAGCCCCCUCCAGCAUCUAGGGGCUGGCUCUCCUUCUUAUCUUGAUUUCUCUCCCUCUGCAGGGGGAUGCAGGUGUCACUGGCCGUAAGAUUAUUGUGGACACCUAUGGCGGCUGGGGGGCUCAUGGUGGUGGGGCCUUCUCUGGGAAGGACUACACCAAGGUGGACCGCUCAGCCGCAUACGCUGCCCGCUGGGUGGCCAAGUCUCUGGUGAAAGCAGGGCUCUGCCGGAGAGUGCUUGUCCAGGUUUCCUAUGCCAUUGGUGUGGCCGAGCCACUGUCCAUUUCCAUCUUCACCUACGGAACCUCUCAGAAGACAGAGCGAGAGCUGCUGGAUGUGGUGCAUAAGAACUUCGACCUCCGGCCGGGCGUCAUUGUCAGGGAUUUGGACUUGAAGAAGCCCAUCUACCAGAAGACAGCAUGCUACGGCCAUUUCGGAAGAAGCGAGUUCCCAUGGGAGGUUCCCAGGAAGCUUGUGUUUUAGAGCCAGGGGGAGCUGGGCCUGGUCUCACCCUGGAGGCGCCUGGUGGCCAUGCUCCUCUUGCCCAGAUGCCUGGCUGCUGAUCGCCUUCCCCACCCACCAACCCUCGGGGCAAAGCCAGGUCCCUCUCAUGUAGCCUGCCCUGUCAUCAUCAUGGCCGGCUGGACGCAGGGGCUUCCUGGUGCUGGAGGUUGGAUCUUGAUGUGAGGAUAGGCAUGGUGUUCUCCUGCUGCUCCCUCAGACUGGGGCAAUGUUAAUUUAGUGGAAAAGGCACCCCUGUCAAGAGUGAAUGAGUGAAUUCCCUCACUCGCCUCCCCCAACAGCUGGAUCCUGACCAGCUCCCCCUCCCUCCCCUUGCCUGUGCCAGGUGAGGUCAGCACAUCUCAACAGGCCUCAGGGCUCUUUGUGGGCCUGGGCUCCUGGGCCCCCCUUUCACAGGCAGCCAGUGCCCUGAGCCAGGGUCUCCAGAAAGCCCCACCCAGGCCAGGCAUGUGGCAGGGGUUAGAGCAGGACUGAUGUCUCCUAAGCACCUGUAAUGUGCGAGGGACCCAGCUAAUGACUGAUCUCAUUUUUUCUUCACUGCAACAUGAUGAGGUAGUACCUUUUAUAUCCCAUUUAUAGAUGGGGGAAAGCAAAGCACAGAGUCUGGAUAACUUCCACAGGGUCCCACAGCCACGUGUUUAGGCCUAGAUGUAUAACUAGGAGCUUUGACUCGGGAGCCUAUGACAUACCCCCCUCCCCCACCGUUGUCUCAUGCCAGUAACAGGCUCAAACAAUGACAAAGCAGAUUCAGAAAUGAGGCCACGGACUCUGUCCUGAAGGCCCAAGGUUACUGGAAAUUAGGGGAUUAACCCACUAGCUCUUGUUGAGCCCUGGGCAAUUGUCUGAAAAGUGAAGACGGAACCAUAGGGCUAUUUUGUUUGCUUCAUGUGUCCCAGAAGAUGACUGAGGGUGAGCUGGCUACCUGGCCCAUCAGUGUGGGCUGGAGUUUGGGACUGACCAGCAGCUUUAGAAUCCCAGCCCCCUGACCACUCAGAGACAUGCAGAGAUUGGGUUUUUGGACUUCUGGGGUAAGUGGUCUAAGUCCAGUCCAGUCCUAUCUGGGCUUCCUGGAACAGAAGCAGCAACUUGUCCUAGCACAGGUGGCCAGCCCCUUAGACAGAGGCCCUCAAGUCUUUCUCUUUCCCUGGUCCCUUGUAUCCCCUCCAGGCUGAGUACAUUUGGAGGGAGUGAGUGGGCCCUUCGGAUGCCCCAUCCAGGGAGGCUGGUCCUAAGGCCUCAUGUUAAAUAGGUGGGGCUUGCCUUCUGGUGUUGGACAAGCUGCUGAGAUGUCAUGAGGAGAUUCUGCCUUUGCCAGGUGACUCUCUGGGGAGCAGGUCUGCUCCCAAGGGGCCUGAGCAGUCCUUGGCCCGCUAGGGUCUUGGAACUUGCCUGCCUUUCCAUCCAUGGCCAGCAGCACCUGCCCUACCUGCCCCACUUGUCCUUAGCCUGGACCUCUGACAUCAGCAUCUCUACCUUCUCCCCAGCUCCCAGGACCACAGGCUUGGGCAGGGGCCUCCAUGGGCCCCAGGGGAACAUUGGGGACUCGGCCUCUCUCUAGGGUACAUGGUGCUGGUUCAGGCUGGGAGAGGCAGCCCAGGAAGUCUCAUCUGGGGAGCAGGCAGCCUGCAUCUGGGCCUUGGCCUGGAGCACAAAGACCCUGGCUUUCAUUUUCUCUCAGAUGAAAGGAAAUUAAGGCAACAAAAGAAGCCCGGCUCCUGGUCACCUAGGAAGUCUCAAAUUCCUUCCCGUGGAGGGAGGGAGGGGUUUGCAGGUGGCCAAGUUCCUCUAACUUGGAUCAUACUCGACAUGAAAAUUCAGAAUUUUAUACUUUCCCUACGCUCUAGAGAAAUAAGAUCUUUUUUGUCAAUUUGUUUGUGUGAAACUAAAGCCUUUGUUAAUAGUUCCUGAUAAAACAGUGAAUAAAAACUCAAGGAGCAACUA
This 2680-nucleotide small RNA is filed under the name Pongo abelii (Sumatran orangutan). Its description in RNAcentral is "processed transcript". Lineage: Eukaryota; Metazoa; Chordata; Mammalia; Primates; Hominidae. The record is from RNAcentral.